RNAcentral lists this ribosomal RNA (1748 nucleotides) under Haemophilus influenzae. RNAcentral describes it as "partial 23S ribosomal RNA". It matches the Rfam family "Bacterial large subunit ribosomal RNA", at positions 451 to 1969 of the family's 2925-position model. Lineage: Bacteria; Pseudomonadati; Pseudomonadota; Gammaproteobacteria; Pasteurellales; Pasteurellaceae. The record is from RNAcentral.
GACCAUCCUCCAAGGCUAAAUACUCCUGAUUGACCGAUAGUGAACCAGUACUGUGAAGGAAAGGCGAAAAGAACCCCGGUGAGGGGAGUGAAAUAGAACCUGAAACCUUGUACGUACAAGCAGUGGGAGCCCCAUCACUUAAUCCGAUUGGAAGGUGAUGAAAAGCAACCGCACUUAAACAAUGGUAAGAGGAGCGAAGCGAGUCAAACCACCCAAAAAAAGAAGCAGUGGGAUUAAGUGAUGGGGUGACUGCGUACCUUUUGUAUAAUGGGUCAGCGACUUAUAUUUUGUAGCGAGGUUAACCGAAUAGGGGAGCCGAAGGGAAACCGAGUCUUAACUGGGCGAGUAGUUGCAAGGUAUAGACCCGAAACCCGGUGAUCUAGCCAUGGGCAGGUUGAAGGUUGGGUAACACUAACUGGAGGACCGAACCGACUAAUGUUGAAAAAUUAGCGGAUGACUUGUGGCUGGGGGUGAAAGGCCAAUCAAACCGGGAGAUAGCUGGUUCUCCCCGAAAUCUAUUUAGGUAGAGCCUUGAGGUGACACCUUUGGGGGUAGAGCACUGUUUCGGCUAGGGGGCCAUCCCGGCUUACCAACCCGAUGCAAACUACGAAUACCAAAGAGUGAUACUCAGGAGACACACGGCGGGUGCUAACGUCCGUCGUGGAGAGGGAAACAACCCAGACCGCCAGCUAAGGUCCCCAAGUCUAUAUUAAGUGGGAAACGAAGUGGGAAGGCUUAGACAGCUAGGAUGUUGGCUUAGAAGCAGCCAUCAUUUAAAGAAAGCGUAAUAGCUCACUAGUCGAGUCGGCCUGCGCGGAAGAUGUAACGGGGCUGAAAUAUAGCACCGAAGCUGCGGCAUCAGGCGUAUCACUAAUACGCCUUACGAUUAACAACAUGGAAUGGUGCGAAGCGACAUGAAAGGUUGUUCAAGCAACCCGAACGUUGAGUCGGGCAUCUUUGAGUAAGGAUGAUUAGUGAUACGCCUGUUGGGUAGGGGAGCGUUGUGUAAGCGGAAGAAGGUUCAUCGAGAGGUGGGCUGGACGUAUCACAAGUGCGAAUGCUGACAUAAGUAACGAUAAAACGGGUGAAAAACCCGUUCGCCGGAAGACCAAGGGUUCCUGUCCAACGUUAAUCGGGGCAGGGUGAGUCGGCUCCUAAGGCGAGGCUGAAAAGCGUAGUCGAUGGGAAACAGGUUAAUAUUCCUGUACUUGGUAAAGCUGCGAUGUGGGGACGGAGUAGGUUAGGUUAUCGCACUGUUGGAUAUGUGCGUUUAAGUUGGUAGGUGGGAAGUUUAGGCAAAUCCGGACUUCCUUAACACAGAGAGAUGAUGACGAGGCUCUACGGAGCUGAAGUAACUGAUACCACACUUCCAGGAAAAGCCACUAAGCGAAAGGCUUUACUAAACCGUACUGAAAACCGACACAGGUGGUCAGGUAGAGAAUACUCAGGCGCUUGAGAGAACUCGGGUGAAGGAACUAGGCAAAAUAGCACCGUAACUUCGGGAGAAGGUGCGCUUACAGUAAUUGUAGUCCCUUACGGAUGAAGGUGAAGUAAGUCGAAGUGACCCGCUGGCUGCAACUGUUUAUUAAAAACACAGCACUCUGCAAACACGAAAGUGGACGUAUAGGGUGUGAUGCCUGCCCGGUGCUGGAAGGUUAAUUGAUGGUGUAAUCGCAAGAGAAGCACCUGAUCGAAGCCCCAGUAAACGGCGGCCGUAACUAUAACGGUCCUAAGGUAGCGAAAUUCCU